AAGACUUUGUUAGAUAUAGUUGUCUAGGUUGACAGUACUGCUCUCUCAGGGCUUCAAAUAUAUAAUUUCCAGCCCUCUUGGCUUGCAGUGCUUAGGCAAAGGAAACUGCUAUUCUGAUGAGUUUUUCUUUAUUUGUAACACUAUGCAUCUCUCCUGAAGACUUCACUAUUGUCCUUUUGUUCUGCAGUCUUAGCACUGUAGCUAUAAUGUGAUAUAAAGAGGCUCGUCUCCUGCCAUGUGUGUGUCGCAUUCUAAUGCCCUCUGGGACCACAUGUUCAUCUUGUUCCCAGGACUUGGGUCAUUUUCUGUGACUAUUUUGUUCAAUGUGUUUUCUAUGCGUUUAGCUUAUGCUUUAUCUCCUUUUCUGUGCUCACAACUCACAAGUUUUCUUCUUUGAGUGUCAUUUCAGAAGCUUGUGCGUUCUGCUCACUCUGUGUUUUUAUUGCUCUAUGGAUGAAUAUCAUAAUUGGUCUGCUUUCCCACAAGCCUUGCUGCUCUGACUUCAGUCCAGUACUGGGGAAGCUUUUGAUUUAGUUCUUUUUUUUUUAACUUGCUGAGCUUUUAAUUUGUAAUAUUCAACUUGAGUUUUUGUUCAUUCAGAAUUCCAUCUAUCCAUUGAGUUCUUCUUUUACGUUGAGCAUUGAGUUUCUUAUUUGGUAUGCUCCUUACUUGUAUCCUCAUACGGUAUUGAUCUGUAUCCACUCAUAAUUUUUUUUCUCAUUUUUGUAGUUAUUUUUUAAGUUCUCUGUAAUUCCAUCCAUUCUUUAUUGUAAUCAUUUACUGUGGGAUGGGUACCUUUUGGAAAAAACCGUUUUGCUUUUAUUAUUAUUUUUUUUGUUUGCAUUUCUGCAUUGGAAUUUGUUCAUUUGGGGCCAAAGUGCUGACUAAGAGUUUUGAUUUCUUGGAUUCUCUUAGAUGACAUGGAUGCUGUCAGGGUUGAGGUGCAGGGUCUCUAGGACUUGGAUGCAGCCAGCUCAAUGCCUAUGCACAUUCAUGGCAGAAGGGAUUCUAGUGUCACUAAGAUGAGAACUACAGUAGUAGCUAUAAGGAUGAUAACCUGCCAUGGAAAUCAGUACUAAUCAAUUAAAAUAGUUCAUUAUCAUAACUAUAAUAACAGCAGAGAAAAAAGAUAUGAUAACAUUGAGCAAACUAAGAGAUAUUAAGGAAUAAGGACAGGAGUGGGAAAAAAGGAAGAAGGGUACUAGAAAAAGAGACAAUGGGGAAGGGGAGAAACACAUGAGAGAGGGGAAUAAUAUAAGACAGUAAAUACAACUAGAAGUAAAUAGUGAUUUCUAUUGCUGCACAGGUCUGUUUACCAAUAUCUUAACUUUCAUUGGCCUAUACACCAUGUUAUUUAACAAUAGCAGAAAGAGUGAGUAACAGUCAGCUGUCCUAGAGGCGAGGAUGGGAAGAUUUGCCAUUGCCAACAUCCCAUGUAGGACAGACAGCAGAAAAUAGAAAUAAAGUGGAGUUUUCUCACAAUCGAAAUAUUCUAAGUCUCUUCUUAAGCUUUCUUAAUAUUUGAGAUAAUCCUGAGGAGAGGGUGCAUAUCAGUCUCCUAAUUAAGAUUUCUUUGAAGCAACAAUUACAAUUAUUUAGAAGACUGAAAAUAUAUGGUUUAAAUCUCAGCUGGCGUUUGGGGUAUUCUGUGAAGAAUACGAUUAGACAAGAAGCAGGAAAUUGGUCUCCAUUGAAUUAUUUGAUCAGAGGAGAUGAUUGGAAUUUUACUAAUGAAAAUUUGCUACCAAAGAUAGGCACAUUAUUUUACACUUUAUAACUCUAACACACUAUUAUUUACAAUGAUACACUAAAAAUAUUAAAAAUGCAUGAGAUUUAAUUUUUUUAUCAUCAUCCAUCCGUUGAACCCUGAGAGUGGUAGAUCUAAGUUUUAGCUGCAAACAAUGUCAGGGGCUGCCUCCUCCUUUGUGGGCUCACAAUUUACAUAUUUGGGUGUUCUUGAAAAGAGAACAGCUAAAACUGUCUAACUGUCCCUAAGUAUGUAACUCAUAUCUGCUGUCUUCUAAAAGAAACUAAGGGGUCACUUAUCUUGUGACUGUGUAGAGUCUUGCAGCAACAGUGUAUUUGUAUAGUAUAAAUGGUUACAUAAUACUGUAUGUAAAGCAUCAGUGUGCAGGUUGAAAUUACAUGAUAAGAUAUGUGGCACGAAAGUGUAAUAAUUAAUUGAAUGACAGACACACAUGUGACUACUGUCUGGAGAUGUAACUCUGUCACUCUAUUAACUGAACAUCUAUAGCAGGUCUUGCAUGGUGCUGCCUGGCAUUCCUGGUUCUAUUUUAGUAGGUAGUGUUAAGUUAGUAUAUGACUGUAAAUAAGUGUUUUUAAAGAGAAAUUUUAGUCUUGAUUCCUGUUUUCUUUAACAUCAGGAGGUAUGCAAUUGCGGAUUUUGUUUUUAAUUUUUCUACGCAGUUAUAAUAAAGUUCAGUGGAGUGGCUAGGGUGAGUGAAAUGAAAAAGACUUCCCAUUUGUAUAAACAGAGGCUUUCUAGGAGAAUACAUGUCUGCACUUGGCCCAUUGCUUUGGUAGCGUCAAGGGUUAAACGUCAUCAAGAUGAUACCAAAUACAGCCCUCUUCCUCAGUAUUUCUUAUGCUGACUCCUGUUAGGAAUUAAAGUAUUGGUGUGUAUUGUGGUGUAUAAUGUUUCUACAUGGAACCCAGCACGGUAUAAUUGUAUCGCUGGAGACUUGUCUGGUGAGCCAAAUAUUGAGA
Molecule: long non-coding RNA, 2727 nt
Filed under: Mus musculus (house mouse)
Lineage: Eukaryota; Metazoa; Chordata; Mammalia; Rodentia; Muridae
Description: long non-coding RNA chr1:61654422-61657149
Source: RNAcentral